This 260-nucleotide ribosomal RNA is filed under the name uncultured bacterium. RNAcentral describes it as "partial 16S ribosomal RNA". It matches the Rfam family "Bacterial small subunit ribosomal RNA", at positions 94 to 354 of the family's 1533-position model. The record is from RNAcentral.
CGUGGCGGACGGGUGAGUAACGCGUGGAAAACCUGCCGUAUACUGGGGGAUAACACUUAGAAAUAGGUGCUAAUACCGCAUAAGCGCACAGCUUCGCAUGAAGCGGUGUGAAAAACUCUGGUGGUAUACGAUGGUUCCGCGUCUGAUUAGCUAGUUGGUGGGGUAAUGGCCUACCAAGGCAACGAUCAGUAGCCGGCCUGAGAGGGUGAACGGCCACAUUGGGACUGAGACACGGCCCAAACUCCUACGGGAGGCAGCAG